RNAcentral lists this ribosomal RNA (503 nucleotides) under uncultured bacterium. Its description in RNAcentral is "bacterial SSU rRNA". It matches the Rfam family "Bacterial small subunit ribosomal RNA", at positions 32 to 518 of the family's 1533-position model. The record is from RNAcentral.
AACGCUGGCGGCGUGCCUAACACGAUGCAAGUCGAACGGAGAUUAACGCUGAUGAGGCUUCGGCGGAAUCUGUUAAAUCUUAGUGGCGGACGGGUGAGUAACGCGUGGGCAACCUGCCUCGUACUGGGGGAUAACAGUUGGAAACGACUGGUUAAUACCGCAUAAGCGCACGGUGUCGCAUGACACAGUGUGAAAAACUCCGGUGGUACGAGAUGGGCCCGCGUCAGAUUAGCUAGUUGGUGGGGUAACGGCUCACCAAGGCGACGAUCUGUAGCCGGACUGAGAGGUCGGACGGCCACAUUGGGACUGAGACACGGCCCAAACUCCUACGGGAGGCAGCAGUGGGGGAUAUUGCACAAUGGGCGAAAGCCUGAUGCAGCGACGCCGCCGUGAGUGAAGAAGUAUUUCGGUAUGUAAAGCUCUAUCAGCAGGGAAGAAAGGCCCGCAAGGGAGAUGACGGUACCUGACUAAGAAGCCCCGGCUAACUACGUGCCAGCCGCAGC